GACGAACGCUGGCGGCGUGCCUAACACAUGCAAGUCGCACGGGACCCGCAAGGGUUCAGUGGCGGACGGGUGCGUAACACGUGAGGAACAUGCCCAUCGGCGGGGGAUAGCCGGCCCAACGGCCGGGUAAUACCGCGUACGCUCAUUCGGGGACAUCCCCGGAUGAGGAAAGCAGCAAUGCACCGAUGGAGUGCCUCGCGGCCUAUCAGCUAGUUGGUGGGGUCAUGGCCCACCGAGGCGACGACGGGUAGCUGGUCUGAGAGGAUGAUCAGCCACAUUGGGACUGAGACACGGCCCAGACUCCUACGGGAGGCAGCAGUGGGGAAUCUUGCGCAAUGGCCGAAAGGCUGACGCAGCGACGCCGCGUGUGGGAUGACGGCCUCGG
RNAcentral lists this ribosomal RNA (385 nucleotides) under uncultured bacterium. RNAcentral describes it as "bacterial SSU rRNA". It matches the Rfam family "Bacterial small subunit ribosomal RNA", at positions 28 to 420 of the family's 1533-position model. The record is from RNAcentral.